GGGCUCCGAUGGAGCAGAAAUAGCGGGACCUGGACUUGUGGCGCGCCUGGUGCCACAUCUCGGGCUCUGCGAGCGUCCUGGCGCGGGAUCCUGCCGUUUGCAUCCAAGAGAGGGGAGGACAGGGGCAAAAGGAUGCAGGGAGGCUGCUGAUUUCCACUGAAGAGCUAAUUUCCUGUGAGACAUUAACAGUGAUUUAAGAAAAAGAUUCCUGUAACUGUAAUGUCUUACAAUAACAGAAUGCAGGAGAGCACAUAUCAAUGAAGAAAAGACAAAAUGUACUUAUCCAUGAAGCUGAGGUUAAGAAACCAGUGUCUUCAAGAGCCAGGGACAGCACUGGGUCUGUGCAGAGUUGAGAGAUGGUGAUGACAUGUGGUUUCCAGCAUUCUUGGCCCAGUCUGGGAUUCUACUCUUUUGUAGUGACAGAGCUCCUUGCUGCUCAAAUUUUAUGCCAGAUAAAAUAUUCACCUUCUCGGACUCCCUGGCACCAGGCAUGGCCAUGUAAUCCUACAGCACAGCUGAUGAAAGAGAAGACAUCUUGCUGCUAUUUGACAAGCAAGAAGAUAAAAGCUUUCCUAUAAAGAUGAUGGAGCAAAAAAAUAGAAGGGGCCUAGACUCCCUACCUUCACACUUCCUGCUAUAAAAGCAUUGCUAUUAUAAGGUUAAUCUGCAGAAACAGACUUCUAUGUCAUAUGCUUAAAUGCAUCAAAAUUCA
Molecule: long non-coding RNA, 712 nt
Filed under: Homo sapiens (human)
Lineage: Eukaryota; Metazoa; Chordata; Mammalia; Primates; Hominidae
Description: MAGI2 antisense RNA 3
Source: RNAcentral